RNAcentral lists this transfer RNA (55 nucleotides) under Anathallis gert-hatschbachii. RNAcentral describes it as "partial tRNA-Gln". It matches the Rfam family "tRNA", at positions 19 to 71 of the family's 71-position model. From Rfam's summary of the family: Transfer RNA (tRNA) molecules are approximately 80 nucleotides in length. The record is from RNAcentral. Lineage: Eukaryota; Viridiplantae; Streptophyta; Magnoliopsida; Asparagales; Orchidaceae.
UAAGGCAACGGGUUUUGGUCCCGUUACUCGGAGGUUCGAAUCCUUCCGUCCCAGA